GCCAGGUGAGGUGGCACACACCUGUAAUCCCAGCAGCUUGGGAGGCUGAGGCAGGAGGAUCGUGAGUUCAAAGCCAGCUUCGACAAUGGUGAGGUACUAUGUAACUAAGUGAGACCCUGUCUCUA
This 125-nucleotide small RNA is filed under the name Marmota monax (woodchuck). Lineage: Eukaryota; Metazoa; Chordata; Mammalia; Rodentia; Sciuridae. The record is from RNAcentral.